UGCGUCCGAUUAGCUAGUUGGCGGGGUAAUGGCCUACCAAGGCGACGAUCGGUAGCCGGCCUGAGAGGGCGAUCGGCCACACUGGAACUGAGACACGGUCCAGACUCCUACGGGAGGCAGCAGUGGGGAAUAUUGCGCAAUGGGCGAAAGCCUGACGCAGCGACGCCGCGUGGGUGAUGAAGGCCUUCGGGUCGUAAAGCCCCGUCUGGUGGAACGAAACGCCUGGCGGCCAAUACCCGCUGGGUUUGACGGUACCACCGAAGGAAGCCCCGGCUAACUACGUGCCAGCAGCCGCGGUAAGACGUAGGGGGCGAGCGUUGUUCGGAUUUACUGGGCGUAAAGCGCGCGUAGGCGGCCAGAUAAGUCGGGUGUGAAAGCCCUCGGCUCAACCGAGGUUCCGCAUCCGAUACUGCUUGGCUGGAGUCUAGGAGAGGAGAGCGGAAUUCCCAGUGUAGCGGUGAAAUGCGUAGAUAUUGGGAGGAACACCCGUGGCGAAGGCGGCUCUCUGGACUAGUACUGACGCUGAGGCGCGAAAGCUAGGGGAGCGAACGGGAUUAGAUACCCCGGUAGUCCUAGCCGUAAACGAUGGGCACUAGGUGUGGGAGGUAUUGACCCCUUCCGCGCCGAAGCUAACGCAUUAAGUGCCCCGCCUGGGGAGUACGGCCGCAAGGCUAAAACUCAAAGGAAUUGACGGGGGCCCGCACAAGCGGUGGAGCAUGUGGUUCAAUUCGACGCAACGCGAAGAACCUUACCAGGGCUUGACAUCCCACGAACCUGCCUGAAAGGGCGGGGUGCCCGCAAGGGAGCGCGGAGA
This 814-nucleotide ribosomal RNA is filed under the name uncultured Methylomirabilota bacterium. RNAcentral describes it as "bacterial SSU rRNA". It matches the Rfam family "Bacterial small subunit ribosomal RNA", at positions 232 to 1034 of the family's 1533-position model. Lineage: Bacteria; Methylomirabilota (SeqCode). The record is from RNAcentral.